This 402-nucleotide ribosomal RNA is filed under the name Triticum aestivum (bread wheat). RNAcentral describes it as "partial small subunit ribosomal RNA". Lineage: Eukaryota; Viridiplantae; Streptophyta; Magnoliopsida; Poales; Poaceae. The record is from RNAcentral.
AUGGCGAUCUUUGCAGUUUGCGGGAAUGUGGCAUUCUUUUCGAUCGGGAUGGGACCGAUAUGCUGGGUGUUAUCUUCAGAGAUAUUUCCUAUAAGAUUGCGAGCUCAGGCAUCAGCACUUGGUCAAGUAGGUGGCAGAGUGGGCAGUGGCUUGGUUUCCAUGUCGUUCCUCUCCAUGGCCCGUGCUAUAUCCGUGGGGGGAAUGUUCUUCGUCUUUGCAGCGAUCUCGACCGUCUCCAUUGUGUUUGUGUACUUCUGCGUGCCAGAAACUAAAGGGAAAACUCUGGAGCAGAUUGAGAUCAUGUUUGAAGGUGGCAAGGAAUGGAAAGGAGGUGGCGAGGUCGAGCUUGAAGAUACACAGCAUUUAAUUCAGGGUGACAAGAAAGCUUUCUCUCUAGGUUGA